Molecule: unclassified non-coding RNA, 165 nt
Filed under: uncultured Sordariomycetes
Lineage: Eukaryota; Fungi; Ascomycota; Sordariomycetes
Description: sequence contains ITS1
Source: RNAcentral
CAGAGUUGAAAAACUCCCAAACCCUUUGCGAACCUUACCAGUCACUUGUUGCUUCGGCAGGCGGCCCCAGGGCGGGGCCGGAGCCUUCACAGGCGCCUGCCGGAGGACCAAAACUCUAUUAUUUUGAAAUUAUCUUCUGAGUCUUCUGAAAGACAAAAUAAGUCA